Molecule: transfer RNA, 72 nt
Filed under: Ornithorhynchus anatinus (platypus)
Lineage: Eukaryota; Metazoa; Chordata; Mammalia; Monotremata; Ornithorhynchidae
Rfam family: tRNA
About the family: Transfer RNA (tRNA) molecules are approximately 80 nucleotides in length. Their secondary structure includes four short double-helical elements and three loops (D, anti-codon, and T loops). Further hydrogen bonds mediate the characteristic L-shaped molecular structure. tRNAs have two regions of fundamental functional importance: the anti-codon, which is responsible for specific mRNA codon recognition, and the 3' end, to which the tRNAs corresponding amino acid is attached (by aminoacyl-tRNA synthetases). tRNAs cope with the degeneracy of the genetic code in two manners: having more than one tRNA (with a specific anti-codon) for a particular amino acid; and 'wobble' base-pairing, i.e. permitting non-standard base-pairing at the 3rd anti-codon position.
Source: Rfam by way of RNAcentral
AGCAGAGUGGCUUAGUGGAAAGAGAUCGGGCUUGGGACUCAGAGGUUGUGGGUUCUAAUCCUGUCUCUGUCA